RNAcentral lists this ribosomal RNA (1230 nucleotides) under Brochothrix thermosphacta. RNAcentral describes it as "bacterial SSU rRNA". It matches the Rfam family "Bacterial small subunit ribosomal RNA", at positions 163 to 1382 of the family's 1533-position model. Lineage: Bacteria; Bacillati; Bacillota; Bacilli; Caryophanales; Listeriaceae. The record is from RNAcentral.
CUAAUACCUAAAGUGCUGAACAUCUGAACAUGUUCAUUUGAAAAACGGUUUCGGCUGUCACUGUGAGAUGGACCCGCGCUGGAUUAACUAGUUGGUAAGGUAAUGGCUUACCAAGGCGACUAUCCAUAGCCGACCUGAGAGGGUGAUCGGCCACAUUGGGACUGAGACACGGCCCAAACUCCUACGGGAGGCAGCAGUAGGGAAUCUUCGGCAAUGGACGAAAGUCUGACCGAGCAACGCCGCGUGAGCGAAGAAGGCCUUCGGGUCGUAAAGCUCUGUUGUUAGAGAAGAACAUGGGUGAGAGUAACUGUUCACCCCUUGACGGUAUCUAACCAGAAAGCCACGGCUAACUACGUGCCAGCAGCCGCGGUAAUACGUAGGUGGCAAGCGUUGUCCGGAAUUAUUGGGCGUAAAGCGCGCGCAGGCGGUCUCUUAAGUCUGAUGUGAAAGCCCCCGGCUCAACCGGGGAGGGUCAUUGGAAACUGGGAGACUUGAGGACAGAAGAGGAGAGUGGAAUUCCAAGUGUAGCGGUGAAAUGCGUAGAUAUUUGGAGGAACACCAGUGGCGAAGGCGGCUCUCUGGUCUGUUACUGACGCUGAGGCGCGAAAGCGUGGGGAGCAAACAGGAUUAGAUACCCUGGUAGUCCACGCCGUAAACGAUGAGUGCUAAGUGUUAGGGGGUUUCCGCCCCUUAGUGCUGCAGUUAACGCAUUAAGCACUCCGCCUGGGGAGUACGACCGCAAGGUUGAAACUCAAAGGAAUUGACGGGGGCCCGCACAAGCGGUGGAGCAUGUGGUUUAAUUCGAAGCAACGCGAAGAACCUUACCAGGUCUUGACAUCCUUUGACCAUUCUGGAGACAGAACUUUCCCUUCGGGGACAAAGUGACAGGUGGUGCAUGGUUGUCGUCAGCUCGUGUCGUGAGAUGUUGGGUUAAGUCCCGCAACGAGCGCAACCCUUGAUUUUAGUUGCCAGCAUUUAGUUGGGCACUCUAAAGUGACUGCCGGUGUAAGCCGGAGGAAGGUGGGGAUGACGUCAAAUCAUCAUGCCCCUUAUGACCUGGGCUACACACGUGCUACAAUGGAUAAUACAAAGGGUCGCGAGACCGCGAUCAGGAGCCAAUCCCAUAAAAUUAUUUUCAGUUCGGAGGGCAGGUUCCAACUUCCUUGCCAGAAGCGGGAAUGGGUUGUAAUAGUAGAUCAUCAUGCUACGGCGAAUACGUUCCCGGGCCUA